This 407-nucleotide ribosomal RNA is filed under the name bacterium enrichment culture clone ALO1_GLFRUDD03FTLB3. RNAcentral's name for it is "bacterial SSU rRNA". It matches the Rfam family "Bacterial small subunit ribosomal RNA", at positions 9 to 417 of the family's 1533-position model. The record is from RNAcentral.
GAGUUUGAUCUUGGCUCAGAUUGAACGCUGGCGGCAUGCCUUACACAUGCAAGUCGAACGGCAGCACGGGAGCUUGCUCCUGGUGGCGAGUGGCGAACGGGUGAGUAAUGCAUCGGAACGUAUCCUGGAGUGGGGGAUAACGUAGCGAAAGUUACGCUAAUACCGCAUAUUCUGUGAGCAGGAAAGCGGGGGACCUUCGGGCCUCGCGCUCUUGGAGCGGCCGAUGUCGGAUUAGCUAGUUGGUGAGGUAAAGGCUCACCAAGGCGACGAUCCGUAGCAGGUCUGAGAGGAUGAUCUGCCACACUGGAACUGAGACACGGUCCAGACUCCUACGGGAGGCAGCAGUGGGAAUUUUGGACAAUGGGGGCAACCCUGAUCCAGCCAUGCCGUGUGAGUGAAGAAGGCCU